GAGCUUUGUAGUUUUGGGCGCUUUCCUAGUGACACUCGUAUGCUUUGGGACACAUUUUGAAGAUGAAGAACCGGUGGUGGAGAGUUGACAACUCAUUCAAUGCCACUAUUUAUUUUCUUGCUAUCAAGUAUCAACCUUUAAGCACUUGAUGGACUCUCUUUCUCUGCAUUCUUUUCGCCGGAGAAUAAUACCAAAAUGGGUGUGGGUUUUAGGCCAAGUAUCAAGUGCGGUUUUCCAAUUCGCUCUGUCCUCAAUUCACCAUCCAGGCUCCCUUCUUCUUCUGUUAAAGGCAGGGAGGCUUCUUUCAACCUGACGAGGCUCUCUUUUCUGUCUGUUAUUUCUGAAGAGGGUGACAUUUUGUAUAGAGAUCCUUUCAAGGCUUAUGCUUAUUCACCUGCAAUGCAAAUCUUAGAGAAUGGGCAUUCUCAAGUGGAAGGAGCUAAGACGAUUUUUGAUAAAGGAUCUCAUAACACGAUUGAUGAUGCUGAAGUGUUGUCUGUUAAAUAUGACAUUCGUGUUCCCUCUUCAAGCUCAAAAGAGAAGAAUUCAAGGUUUUGUUUGUUAUUGGAAAAUCUUAAUAUCUUAGAGGAGUCUUUUGCUGAUUCUGAUGCACUGAAUUUGGAAAGGGAUAUUCUGCUACAAUUAGGAAGACUUGGAGCUCUAAAAUUAUUCAAUACAUGCCUGAGGAGGACCCUUGCUGAUGUUCCUACUGAAAAUAUUGGAGAGUGUAAAAUUAAUAACGCAUCAAAUGAUCUUGUAAAUGAAGUCAUUAUCCGUUCUGGGAAAAAGCAAGAAAGAAAAUCUAGAAGAGAAAGAGCCUCCUCAAAAUUUGGCCAUCUUGCUUAUUCUUUGUCAUUGCCUUCAGAACACAUUCAAAAUGGUCCUGGAAAGCCUAUUUUUUCCUCUGCUAAAAAAGCAUCAAAUUUCAAGAGUAGAAGAUUGAUAAUUGCUAGAAAUGAGGCGGAAAUGUCCAGGGGAGUUAAGGUUAUUAUAAACUUCUGCAAGAUAAAAGUGUUGUUUUCUUUUGUUGCUUGAAAAGUUUGUUGAAAAAUUGGGGGCAAAAGAAAUAAAAAGCCCAAAAAUGAGGACUUGAGUGAAGAAAACUUGUAUUGAAAGAGGACUAAAGUGAUA
RNAcentral lists this unclassified non-coding RNA (1131 nucleotides) under Hevea brasiliensis (rubber tree). Lineage: Eukaryota; Viridiplantae; Streptophyta; Magnoliopsida; Malpighiales; Euphorbiaceae. The record is from RNAcentral.